RNAcentral lists this unclassified non-coding RNA (256 nucleotides) under Trichoderma afroharzianum. RNAcentral describes it as "partial internal transcribed spacer region". The stretch from base 1 to 46 matches the Rfam family "Eukaryotic small subunit ribosomal RNA", at positions 1786 to 1831 of the family's 1831-position model. Lineage: Eukaryota; Fungi; Ascomycota; Sordariomycetes; Hypocreales; Hypocreaceae. The record is from RNAcentral.
AAGUCGUAACAAGGUCUCCGUUGGUGAACCAGCGGAGGGAUCAUUACCGAGUUUACAACUCCCAAACCCAAUGUGAACGUUACCAAACUGUUGCCUCGGCGGGAUCUCUGCCCCGGGUGCGUCGCAGCCCCGGACCAAGGCGCCCGCCGGAGGACCAACCAAAACUCUUAUUGUAUACCCCCUCGCGGGUUUUUUUUAUAAUCUGAGCCUAAAACAAAAUACGUUAAAACUUUCAACAACGGAUCUCUUGGUUCUG